AUUGAACGCUGGCGGCAGGCUUAACACAUGCAAGUCGAGCAGAGAGAGGUAGCUUGCUACUGAUCUUAGCGGCGGACGGGUGAGUAAUGCUUAGGAAUCUGCCUAUUAGUGGGGGACAACAUCUCGAAAGGAAUGCUAAUACCGCAUACGUCCUACGGGAGAAAGCAGGGGAUCUUCGGACCUUGCGCUACGAGAUGAGCCUAAGUCGGAGUAGCUAGUUGGUGGGGUAAAGGCCUACCAAGGCGACGAUCUGUAGCGGGUCUGAGAGGAUGAUCCGCCACACUGGGACUGAGACACGGCCCAGACUCCUACGGGAGGCAGCAGUGGGGAAUAUUGGACAAUGGGCGGAAGCCUGAUCCAGCCAUGCCGCGUGUGUGAAGAAGGCCUUAUGGUUGUAAAGCACUUUAAGCGAGGAGGAGGCUACUUUAGUUAAUACCUAGAGAUAGUGGACGUUACUCGCAGAAUAAGCACCGGCUAACUCUGUGCCAGCCGCCGCCGUAA
This 501-nucleotide ribosomal RNA is filed under the name uncultured bacterium. Its description in RNAcentral is "partial 16S ribosomal RNA". It matches the Rfam family "Bacterial small subunit ribosomal RNA", at positions 30 to 523 of the family's 1533-position model. The record is from RNAcentral.